UCCUAUGGCUUCGUUUGUCUGAGCGUCGUAU
RNAcentral lists this ribosomal RNA (31 nucleotides) under Chorioptes texanus. RNAcentral's name for it is "partial 5.8S ribosomal RNA". Lineage: Eukaryota; Metazoa; Arthropoda; Arachnida; Sarcoptiformes; Psoroptidae. The record is from RNAcentral. RNAcentral also lists the same sequence under 1 other name.